This 1397-nucleotide long non-coding RNA is filed under the name Phascolarctos cinereus (koala). RNAcentral's name for it is "lncRNA (ENSPCIG00000036751.1)". Lineage: Eukaryota; Metazoa; Chordata; Mammalia; Diprotodontia; Phascolarctidae. The record is from RNAcentral.
UCAAGAUGUGUCCCCUAGGGGUGUUAGGGGGAGGAGGUGGGGCACAGCACUGAUAAGUUGUUACCUGGCUCUGUUGGGAGAGGAACUCAUGCGGUCAGAUGGUCCCGGCGGGAGCCCCCGACCGGUAGUGUUCUGUCCACACCCGCCGCAGCCGGCUACUGUUCACUGUAUCAUUCCCGCAGCUGAGCCUGGUAUGGGAGGGAGAAGCUGUCCCAUCUGGAGGAGGAGGAGGAAGAAGAGGACGAGGAGGAGGAAGAAGAGAACGAGGAGGAGGACACGACAGAGCACGCUCAGAACCCGGAGAAGGGGGAGUUGCCGGGGCUCAGGGCUCAGAACGCCAGAGGAUCCUAGCAUCCCAGAUUUGUUGUUCGGCCUUCAUUUUGAAGAGGACCAGUGACAUCACAGGGUGAUAUCUUGACUUGCUCAUGACUUGGAUUGAAGUGAGGCAGAGCUAUACAAAGUCACCAGCCUCAUUCUCUCUUCCAGAGUCAUUGAAGUCCAGUGGCAAGACAAAACUCAGGACGAAUGUUGAUGACGUGGGAUGCAAUGGAUGACCUUGGCAUCUUCAAGGUCUGACCAAGCUCUAAGCAAUCCACAGUGCCUGCUUCAGCUGCUUUCAUGGCUGUUGGAACAAACUAUUCUUGACUGCCCAUUCUGCCAGGGGAAGUCUUCAUAUGUUUAUGGCAGACAUUCCCCUGGCAUCAUAGAUUUAGAGUUGAAAGGGAAUAGAGUCUAUCUAGUUUAACCCCUACAUUUUACAAGUGCGCCCAUCUCAAUGAUCUCCAUAGAGGUGUUUGCCAUAAGUUUAUCUCAUAGGCUCAAUCACUGCUAUGUGAAGGCUUGGUAAGGUUAUUUGUUAUGAUCUAUCCUGAGAACAAGGGGGAAGCAGUCACCCAAUCUUAACUUAAUCAAACUUAACUGCUAGAUGACAGAGCUAUCACAGCUAUACACACGAAGUUUUCCUUUCCUCUUUCCCUAGGCAUAUUCCCUUUCCAGUUUUCCAUUGGCUGUUGACAUGAAAAGUACAGAGAAUUUCAUUGAACCCAGCACUGCAAAAGGGCAGUACUUACCCCUCCUCUCCACAGUGUUGUUACACAAACUUAUAAAAGACAUCCUAAUAGCAGCCCACUCCCUCACUAUGGCAUCUGAUUGAGUAUAAGGUCUAGUGGAUCGAAUGGAACUUGGGGUACAAUUUGAUUAUACCACCUCCCAGCCCAAAACCCUUUAAUGGAUCCCUAUUACCUACUGAAUAAGACAUAAACCCUUUAGACCAGCACUUGAAGGUCUCCACAAUCCAGUGCCUACCUAGGUUUCCAGGCUUAUCUCACGCUAUUGCCCAUCACAUACUACUGAUUCCAGGCAAACUUGACCAUGCGUGAGCUUCCCUUCUCAUUUUG